RNAcentral lists this ribosomal RNA (252 nucleotides) under uncultured bacterium. RNAcentral's name for it is "partial 16S ribosomal RNA". It matches the Rfam family "Bacterial small subunit ribosomal RNA", at positions 525 to 776 of the family's 1533-position model. The record is from RNAcentral.
ACAGAGGUCCCGAGCGUUGUUCGGAUUCACUGGGCGUAAAGGGUGCGUAGGUGGUACGGUAAGUUUGAUGUGAAAGCUCCGAGCUCAACUCGGAAAAUGCAUUAAAUACUAUCGAACUAGAGGAUUGGAGGGGGGACUGGAAUUCUCGGUGUAGCAGUGAAAUGCGUAGAUAUCGAGAGGAACACCAGUGGCGAAGGCGAGUCCCUGGACAACUCCUGACACUGAGGCACGAAAGCUAGGGGAGCAAACAGG